RNAcentral lists this ribosomal RNA (633 nucleotides) under uncultured euryarchaeote AT-5_P24. RNAcentral's name for it is "bacterial SSU rRNA". It matches the Rfam family "Archaeal small subunit ribosomal RNA", at positions 40 to 677 of the family's 1478-position model. The record is from RNAcentral. Lineage: Archaea; Methanobacteriati; Methanobacteriota.
UCGAUUAAGCCAUGCGAGUCGCGAGAAAUUAGAUUCUCGGCGUACCGCUCAGUAACACGUGGGUAACCUGCCCUAUGCUGGAUAAUAACCUCGGGAAACUGAGAAUAAUGAUCCAUGGUUCACUACGCCUGGAACGGUGAGUGGAUGAAAGCUCCGGCGGCAUAGGAUGGGCCUGCGGCGUAUCAGGUUGUAGGGGGUGUAACGUACCCUCUAGCCCUCUACGCGUACGGGUGUUGGGAGACAUAGCCCGGAGAUGGAUUCUGAGACACGAAUCCAGACCCUACGGGGUGCAGCAGGCGCGAAAACUUGGCAAUGCGAGAAAUCGUGACCAGGGAACUCCAAGUGCAUGGGGUAAGACCCAUGCUUUUCUUGACUCUAAAUAGGUCUUGGAAUAAGGGGUGGGUAAGGACGGUGCCAGCCCCCUCGGUAAUACCGGCGCCUCAAGUGGUAGUCGCCUUUAUUGGGCCUAAAACGUCCGUAGCCGGUCUGAUACAUUCGUGGGUAAAUCAACCAGCUUAACUGGUUGAAUUCUGCGAGGACGGUCAGACUUGGGACCGGGAGAGGUGUGGGGUACGCUCAGGGUAGGGAUAAAAUCCUGUCAUCCUGAGCGGACCACCUGUUGCGAAGGCGCCA